This 375-nucleotide unclassified non-coding RNA is filed under the name soil metagenome. RNAcentral's name for it is "partial contains 5.8S ribosomal RNA, internal transcribed spacer 2, and large subunit ribosomal RNA". The stretch from base 1 to 120 matches the Rfam family "5.8S ribosomal RNA", at positions 35 to 154 of the family's 154-position model. The record is from RNAcentral.
GAUGAAGAACGCAGCGAAAUGCGAUAAGUAAUGUGAAUUGCAGAAUUCAGUGAACCAUCGAAUCUUUGAACGCACAUUGCGCCCGGCAGUAAUCUGCCGGGCAUGCCUGUCCGAGCGUCAUUUCUCCCCUCGAGCGCAGCUUUCCCCCCCGGGGGAGGGCCGCGCCCGGUGUUGGGGCGCUACGGAGGAGCCCAGCGCUCCCCCGUAGGCCCCGAAAUGUAGUGGCGGUCCCGCCGCGGCGCCCCCUGCGUAGUAGUUUUACAACUCGCAUCGGGUCCCGGCGGAGGCCAGCCGUCAAACCCCCCAACUUCAAUAGAUUGACCUCGGAUCAGGUAGGGUUACCCGCUGAACUUAAGCAUAUCAAUAAGCGGAGGA